RNAcentral lists this ribosomal RNA (253 nucleotides) under uncultured bacterium. RNAcentral describes it as "partial 16S ribosomal RNA". It matches the Rfam family "Bacterial small subunit ribosomal RNA", at positions 524 to 776 of the family's 1533-position model. The record is from RNAcentral.
GACAGAGGGUGCAAACGUUGUUCGGAAUUACUGGGCGUAAAGCGCGUGUAGGCGGUUGUCCAAGUUGGAUGUGAAAGCCUUGAGCUUAACUCAAGAAAUGCAUUCAGGACUGGAUGACUAGAGGACCGGAGAGGAUAGUGGAAUUCCCAGUGUAGUGGUGAAAUACGUAGAGAUUGGGAAGAACACCAGUGGCGAAGGCGGCUAUCUGGACGGUUUCUGACGCUAAGACGCGAAAGCGUGGGGAGCAAACAGG